Molecule: long non-coding RNA, 3650 nt
Organism: Felis catus (domestic cat)
Lineage: Eukaryota; Metazoa; Chordata; Mammalia; Carnivora; Felidae
Exons: 3
Source: RefSeq, a predicted model, not a curated record
GUGCCCAGGCCCUGAGGGGGGAAGGUGUGGCACGCUCAAGGAAGAGACAGAGGCCACUGGCGAGAGCCCAGGGAACUAGGAAGAGACCGUGUGAGGUGAUGUGCAGGGGAAGUGAGUGGCCAGAUGUUACAGGGCCUUGCAGGCUGAGAUAAGGAGUCUGAGUGUGAUUCUGAGUGUGAUGGGAACUACUGAAAUGUCUGAAGCAGGAAAUUGCUUGGUGGCGUUCAGAGAUGACUUCGGCUUUGGUGGUUGGGCAGGAGAGGUUGGGAUAGACCGUGGACAGUAAAGCGGUGCAUGGAGAGAAGAAUAUUGUGAGAAAACCAAAUAUCCGAAGGGACUUAUUUUUGGAAGUUUUGGAAAUAGAGGGGAAGAUGAGAGGCACUCACGAAGAAGAGCAGGAAUUAAGAUGAUCUGGAAGAGGUUGAGGAUUUCUCUCAUUUAAGGAAACAGGAUAUCGCAAUGACGGGGCUGGUUUACCAGAACACCACUGCCAAAGGGAGCAUCUGUGGAUCACACAGGAGUAUCUCGUGGGAGCUAAGGAUUUGGAACCAGGUGAUAUAAAGGUUAUCAGGAACAACGUGAACUUCUUUCUGUAUUUUCCUCAGUCUCUCCGGAUUCUUAUCUGUUCUCAGAUCUACACAGCUCUUCAUUUUCCUCUCUCCAGAUUUCAAGGCCGUCUCUGGUCAAAUCAGGUUUGGGUAAAGUCAUGCAGUGUAUAGACCCACCUUUUCUAGAGCAACGGCUAGGGUAGAUUUUCGAGAAAAAUGGUGAGCAUCUCAGGCUCAUUCUUAAAAAAAAGUUAGGGUGAAAAAAAGUAAAUUGGAAAGUUGUUCCAAGCAGUGGUAACUGCUUUUCGAGUUGUUACAGCAAAAAGUAGAAACCCGGCAUGGCAAGGGAUGAGGCUGAAGAGAGGGGCAAAGGACAGGGGUGAGGGCCUCAUGCAUCAUGUUGACGGCCUUAGAGUUUGUUCUGCAUACGACAGGGCUUCAAAGUCCAAAAGUAUCAAGUCUGGGAAAACUGAAGUCUAGAUGGUUCCAAUAGACAUACAGGGUCCUGAGAGGCGUCAGGCCACGAUGGGAAGGGCGCUGACAAGACAGUCAAAGUGUUGAGUUGUAGAUGUGCCCAUUGAUUGCUUUCUUUCAUGGCUUAGGCCUCAGUUUCUUCAUCUACAAAGUGGAGAUAAGUCAUACCUACUUACUGACUAUCUAAGGAGGCGUUGGGAAGACAAAUGACAUAAUCUGUGUGGAAACCCUUUUAGGACUGUCAGACAUGGUUUCAGCAUAAGGUACUUACUCAUCUGUAAAAUGAGGGGGUUGGCCUCGAUGGGAUCUAAUGUUCUUCUAGUUCUAAAGCUCUACAACUCUAUUAUUAUCCUUAUUAUCUGACAAUCAUGCUAAAAUUAUGGGUUUUAUGGAUCUGAAACACCCUUCUCUCAUCUUGCCAAGAAAACUUAAUGUGAGGCUCGUAGCCUGGGAAAUGCCACUUCCUAGGUGGUUGUUUCCACAGAAACACCAAUAACCAUAAAGUUGUGCAGGAAUGUGAACCGUCUGGGUUUGAACAGGAAGAGGAAAUUGAUGUAUAAGCCAGGAACAGAACCAAACCCCUAAAAAAGAAUAGAGUUUCUCUCUGUACAUUACAUGUACAGAAUGUAACCUAAUCCCCCAGCUGAUAACUCUCUGCUUUUUAAAAUACUGUACAUGAUACUACCAUGGAAAUGCUGAAUGAUUUUAAAGUGGUUUUAGAAUACCGUGAUAAAACACAGAGGCUUCGAACGAUGAGGUCUAGAGAUUUUUUCAUUCCUAAAUUGCCCUUCAGCCAUGGUGGUUAGUGUUCAGUGACUCUCUUGUGUUUUAGAAAGGAAAGAGGAAACACAAUCCUCUUUCUAGAAAUAUAUCAUCAGCAGUGGAGCAGUAACGAUCGAAUCGUUGCUGAUGUUCACAGACGGCUUCCUGCGUGUCAGAUCCUGGAGCGAGCGCUCUACUCACAUCUUCUCAUUUCAUCCUCACAAAAUCCCUAAUGAGGCAGGCUCUCUUCUUGGCCCCAUUAUAUAGACGAGAAACGGAGUCUCAGGGACGCCAAUGGACUUACUCUGGGUCCCACAGCCAGUAGGCAGUAGCACUGGGAUUCAAAGCCACGGGGCCUGGCUCCAGACUUCAUCCUGUCAUCACCUAUGCUAGCUUGGCUCUGGCUGCUUACUAUGAUGUCCUAAAAACAGUUUUUCCAAAGCAAAAGAUAACAUGACAUGUAUUGCGGGGUGGUUGGGAAAGGAUCUCAUUAGAGACAGAGGCUCUGUGAUACUUCACUGACAACAGUUAAGAAUGAAUAAUAUGUUGAACAUUUUCCUCGGCACGUAAAAAUGGUCCGUGUUUCCCAGAAUGGCCAGGCUAAAACAUCAGACGCAUCACGUCUCGGGAAAGGCUCAGACUUUCAAAAUGCCUUUUGUCUCAUAAAUACAUGGGAGGCCUCCUUACCCAAGCUAGCAAGGAUUUGGAGAGGAGGCGGGAAUUCUCCAUCCCAAUCUUGGUCUCUCCUUAGCGGCUGACUAAGGCAUCAACUGCAGCUCUUUCCUCCCACAGUUUAGGUCACAAAACCAUGGACAGUGAAUGAGACCCUGAGCAAAGGAUUCUCUUCCCAUCUUCCACGCAAAACCCUUCAAUCAAAUGUCUUCUUUUUCUCUUGUACAUUUAAACAGACUUUAAAAAUACACUUAGAGAAAACAAACAAAAAAAAAGGCAUGAGAUUCUCCUUUUCUUUGGUUAGCCAUAAAUGUUUGUGAGGCAUAAAAGCCCACGGUAGGGAAGGAGAUAAUAAGGCAGCUCAGUAAUAUACUACUGCUAUUUCUAGAACAUAAUUACCAAGGAAAGCAAUCAAGUGGCAUGCAUUUAUUGAGCAUUUACUAAGCGCCUGACUGUGUGGGGUAGAAAAGUAAGGGCAGUAAGGUCUUAAUAAACAGAUCCCUGGGAACUAAACAUAGUAAAAGCAAAGAAGCAAACAAAAUUUCUGUGUAAACUGUGAAAGCAAAGCUACCUAAGGGCAGGAAAAAACAAAACAUUAAAGGGAUGGAGAAUUGUAAGGCUGUUCCUCUCUUGCCAAGACUUUGGGGGCCUUUUUCUCCUCAGGAGAGAAAUCUCCUCCCCCAAAUUCUCUCCACUUUCUCUCUCACUCAGAGGACUGUGUAUGGCUCCCUGCAUCCCUGGCAGGGUUCUGAGUGCAGAGCCCCCUAAUGAGCUCUACUCCAGCCAGCAUUCAUACAGGUUCUGUCACUCUGCUGUUGCCCCGGCCUGGCCAGGCACAGUAGGGUAUGACCACCAGUCAUUCACACUGAUGGAUGCAUUGGCCAGUGAUGGUUCAGACAAAACCCAUUCACACUAAAAUGGAACUCUACUGUGCUUUUGUACUUGAAAGCUGUUUCCUCCAGUUGGGGAAGUGGAGUUUCAGAUACCACUAAGCGGGUUUUAGGAGGAAGAAGGGGAGCCUAAAAUCACCUCAGUUCUGCUUAUCUAGCUGGGCCUGGAAGUCUCAGCUCAAAUGUCUCUUCUUCAAGGAGCCCUUCUGUGGCAUCGGGUCUAAUGUUGGUCCCGUUAUGUUACGCUGUUUUGUUUUAUUCACAGUGCUUACUAUUAUUGUAAAUUAUCUUGUUUAUUUCUCUA